Molecule: ribosomal RNA, 496 nt
Filed under: uncultured bacterium
Lineage: Bacteria
Description: partial 16S ribosomal RNA
Rfam family: Bacterial small subunit ribosomal RNA
Source: RNAcentral
GAUGAACGCUGGCGGCGUGCCUAAUACAUGCAAGUCGAGCGAACAGAUGAGGAGCUUGCUCCUCUGACGUUAGCGGCGGACGGGUGAGUAACACGUGGAUAACCUACCUAUAAGACUGGGAUAACUUCGGGAAACCGGAGCUAAUACCGGAUAAUAUAUUGAACCGCAUGGUUCAAUAGUGAAAGACGGUUUUGCUGUCACUUAUAGAUGGAUCCGCGCCGCAUUAGCUAGUUGGUAAGGUAACGGCUUACCAAGGCAACGAUGCGUAGCCGACCUGAGAGGGUGAUCGGCCACACUGGAACUGAGACACGGGCCAGACUCCUACGGGAGGCAGCAGUAGGGAAUCUUCCGCAAGGGGCGAAAGCCUGACGGAGCAACGCCGCGUGAGUGAUGAAGGUCUUCGGAUCGUAAAACUCUGUUAUUAGGGAAGAACAAAUGUGUAAGUAACUAUGCACGUCUUGACGGUACCUAAUCAGAAAGCCACGGCUAACUACGU